RNAcentral lists this ribosomal RNA (1541 nucleotides) under Salmonella enterica. RNAcentral's name for it is "partial 23S ribosomal RNA". It matches the Rfam family "Bacterial large subunit ribosomal RNA", at positions 1292 to 2816 of the family's 2925-position model. The record is from RNAcentral. Lineage: Bacteria; Pseudomonadati; Pseudomonadota; Gammaproteobacteria; Enterobacterales; Enterobacteriaceae.
GAAUGCUGACAUAAGUAACGAUAAAGCGGGUGAAAAGCCCGCUCGCCGGAAGACCAAGGGUUCCUGUCCAACGUUAAUCGGGGCAGGGUGAGUCGACCCCUAAGGCGAGGCCGAAAGGCGUAGUCGAUGGGAAACGGGUUAAUAUUCCCGUACUUGGUGUUACUGCGAAGGGGGGACGGAGAAGGCUAUGUUGGCCGGGCGACGGUUGUCCCGGUUUAAGCGUGUAGGUGUGUGUUCCAGGUAAAUCCGGUUCACUUUAACACUGAGGCGUGACGACGAGGCACUACGGUGCUGAAGCAACAAAUGCCCUGCUUCCAGGAAAAGCCUCUAAGCAUCAGGUAACACGAAAUCGUACCCCAAACCGACACAGGUGGUCAGGUAGAGAAUACCAAGGCGCUUGAGAGAACUCGGGUGAAGGAACUAGGCAAAAUGGUGCCGUAACUUCGGGAGAAGGCACGCUGACACGUAGGUGAAGUGAUUUACUCAUGGAGCUGAAGUCAGUCGAAGAUACCAGCUGGCUGCAACUGUUUAUUAAAAACACAGCACUGUGCAAACACGAAAGUGGACGUAUACGGUGUGACGCCUGCCCGGUGCCGGAAGGUUAAUUGAUGGGGUCAGCGUAAGCGAAGCUCCUGAUCGAAGCCCCGGUAAACGGCGGCCGUAACUAUAACGGUCCUAAGGUAGCGAAAUUCCUUGUCGGGUAAGUUCCGACCUGCACGAAUGGCGUAAUGAUGGCCAGGCUGUCUCCACCCGAGACUCAGUGAAAUUGAACUCGCUGUGAAGAUGCAGUGUACCCGCGGCAAGACGGAAAGACCCCGUGAACCUUUACUAUAGCUUGACACUGAACAUUGAGCCUUGAUGUGUAGGAUAGGUGGGAGGCUUUGAAGUGUGGACGCCAGUCUGCAUGGAGCCGACCUUGAAAUACCACCCUUUAAUGUUUGAUGUUCUAACGUGGACCCGUAAUCCGGGUUGCGGACAGUGUCUGGUGGGUAGUUUGACUGGGGCGGUCUCCUCCUAAAGAGUAACGGAGGAGCACGAAGGUUGGCUAAUCCUGGUCGGACAUCAGGAGGUUAGUGCAAUGGCAUAAGCCAGCUUGACUGCGAGCGUGACGGCGCGAGCAGGUGCGAAAGCAGGUCAUAGUGAUCCGGUGGUUCUGAAUGGAAGGGCCAUCGCUCAACGGAUAAAAGGUACUCCGGGGAUAACAGGCUGAUACCGCCCAAGAGUUCAUAUCGACGGCGGUGUUUGGCACCUCGAUGUCGGCUCAUCACAUCCUGGGGCUGAAGUAGGUCCCAAGGGUAUGGCUGUUCGCCAUUUAAAGUGGUACGCGAGCUGGGUUUAGAACGUCGUGAGACAGUUCGGUCCCUAUCUGCCGUGGGCGCUGGAGAACUGAGGGGGGCUGCUCCUAGUACGAGAGGACCGGAGUGGACGCAUCACUGGUGUUCGGGUUGUCAUGCCAAUGGCACUGCCCGGUAGCUAAAUGCGGAAGAGAUAAGUGCUGAAAGCAUCUAAGCACGAAACUUGCCCCGAGAUGAGUUCUCCCU